CUUGAAUAAUGUGAUCAAUUGCAGCAAAAACAUAAUUUGAGUUGACACAAUUAACUACCACUUCCUCGUCUGAGAUUAUGGUGACAGUGUUCCAAUUAAGGUGUUUUGCCAUUUGUAAACCCCAUCUAACACCCAAAGCUUCAGCAAGCACAGGGUCGGUUACUGUUCCCUCUUUUCGGCAGGCUGAGAGCACUACUGAGUUGGAUUGAUCGAUAGCAACCN
RNAcentral lists this long non-coding RNA (222 nucleotides) under Trifolium pratense (red clover). Its description in RNAcentral is "long non-coding RNA (TPRA_LNC011050)". Lineage: Eukaryota; Viridiplantae; Streptophyta; Magnoliopsida; Fabales; Fabaceae. The record is from RNAcentral.